AGAGUUUGAUCAUGGCUCAGAAUGAACGCUGGCGGCAUGGAUUAGGCAUGCAAGUCGAACGUGCUCCCUCGGGGAGAAAGUGGCGAAAGGGUGAGUAACACGUGAGCAACCUGCCUCCGGAUCCGGGAAUAAUCCAGGGGAAACUUGGGUCUAAAAACCGGAUGAAGGCAUUUGGGGCCGCAUGGGUCUGGUGUUAAAAAUAUUUAUAGUCCGGAGAGGGGCUCGCGGCCCAUUAGCUUGUUGGCGGGGUAAUGGCCCACCAAGGCUACGACGGGUAGGUGGUCUGAGAGGAUGGUCACCCACACUGGGACUGAGACACUGCCCAGACUCCUACGGGAGGCUGCAGUCGAGAAUCUUCCGCAAUGGGCGCAAGCCCUGACGGAGCGAUGCCGCGUGAGGGAUGAAGGCCUUCGGGUUGUAAACCUCUGUCAUCCGGGACGAAAACAAUGACGGUACCGGAAAAGGAAGCCACGGCUAACCACGUGCCAGCCGCCGC
This 496-nucleotide ribosomal RNA is filed under the name uncultured bacterium. RNAcentral describes it as "bacterial SSU rRNA". It matches the Rfam family "Bacterial small subunit ribosomal RNA", at positions 8 to 518 of the family's 1533-position model. The record is from RNAcentral.